Molecule: long non-coding RNA, 3500 nt
Organism: Poecile atricapillus (Black-capped chickadee)
Lineage: Eukaryota; Metazoa; Chordata; Aves; Passeriformes; Paridae
Exons: 2
Source: RefSeq, a predicted model, not a curated record
GGAGAUAUCCCCAUGCACCUCAGUGCUGAAUAAAUUCAUACCUGCUCUUAUAACUACUCUGCUAGUUAUAGAGUCCCGUUAUUCUGCACAUCAUUUUGGCAAGCCAGGCAGGAAGAUCUCUGUCUGGCUGCGGUAGCGGCUGAGGAACAGAUUCCCUGGCGCGCCCCCAGGACUUUCCCGGGAGGGACCCCGAGCCUCUGUUCGCUCACCGUGGGGACAGACAACAACCUGCCAGCCUGCAUAUAAAGCUUCUUUUCUCAGUGGGAAUCAAUAAGAGCCGGUGCACCACAACUGCCUGGAGACCAUCGAAGCUUCCUACUCCAGCCGCCCAGACCUGAAAGACACCCCACUGGAUGAUGAAGAAAUUUGGUUCACUGAUGGGAGCAGCUACAUCAUCAAUGGAAAGCGACACGCCGGGUAUGCAGUUGCCACCUGCAAAGAGGUAAUAGAAUCUGGACCCUUGCCAACAGAUACCUCUGCACAAAAGGCAGAGAUCAUCGCUCUAACCCGUGCCCUGGAGAUUGCAAAGCGAAGGAAAAUAAACAUCUAUACAGACUCAAGAUAUGCAUUUGGGGUUGUACAUGCACAUGGGGCCAUCUGGAAAGAAAGAGGACUGUUAAACUCACAAGGGAAAAACAUCAAACAUGCGCAGGAGAUAUUUGGGCUACUGGAAGCAGUCCAGCUACCUGAGCAGGUAGCAAUUAUGCACAUUAAGGCACACCAGAAGGUGAGCUCAGAAUUGGAGGAAGGGAACGAGCUGGUGGACAGAGAGGCAAAAGAAGCAGCAAAAGGUGAGAUAACAAUUGAGGGAGUCUUAAUUCCUGAUGGACAGGUCUCCCUUGAAGGUAAGCCAGUAUAUACUAGAAAAGAUAGAAAACUAAUUCAAGAUCAAGGGGGAAAAUAUAACCAACAGGGAUGGGCUAUUACUGCAGAAGGGACAAUAGUCAUCCCUUCUCAUUUGUUAUGGUCACUCGUAAGAGAAGAGCACCAGAAAACCCACUGGGGAAUAGAUGCCCUGUAUAGCUAUGUAAUUGAAAAGAUUACUGCCAGAAAUUUAUACUCUACUGUCAUUCAGGUAACUCGGCAGUGUGACAUUUGCCUCCAGACUAAACCCAAGAAUACCCUCAAACCAAAACUAGGUCAAAUUGGAAAAGGCCAUGGGCCUGGACAACAAUGGCAAAUUGACUUUUCAGAACUCCCAAGAAAAGGGGGGCUAUCGAUAUUUGCUAGUUUUAACAGAUACCUUUUCAGGGUGGCCAGAGGCUUUUCCCACCAGAACUGCCAUAGCCCAGGAGGUAACAAAGGUAUUGCUACAAGAGGUAAUACCAUGCUUCGGGGUUCCAGCCACAAUAGCUUCAGAUAGGGGGCCACAUUUUAUCUCAAAAAUAGUACAACAAAUCAGUCGACAUUUGGGGAUAGAUUGGGAGCUCCAUACCCCUUAUCGCCCCCAGUCAAGUGGCCAAGUAGAAAAAAUGAAUCAUUUAAUUAAACAGCAAAUUGUGAGACUGGGACAAGAUGCUAAUUUACCUUGGCCCCAAUCUCUCCCACUGGCAUUGAUGCGGAUCCGAACCAAGCCCAGAGCCAAAGAAAAACUAAGUCACUUUGAAAUGCUUUAUGGGAGACCAUAUGGUGUGCAAAAGGGAUUGUCUACCCAAGUGAGAGACAAGAGGUUGACUGCCUAUAUGAUAGCCUUAGGCAAGCAGCUCAGAGCAAUUGAGAAACAUGUGGCUUGAACCCGGAGCAGAGGGCUGGAUGGGCCAGUGCAUGACAUAGAGCCUGGAGAUCAUGUGUAUGUUAAGUCUCUUACAGAAAAAACUUUGGAACCACAGUGGGAAAGACCGUUCCAAGUGAUCCUCACCACCUUCACUGCAGUUAAGAUCAAGGAACAGAGCGCCUGGAUUCACCAUUCUCGAGUGAAGAAGGCUCCAGAAGCCCCUUGGAAAGUAACACUGGGUGACAAUGAACUGAAACUAAAACUUACUCGAGCAAAAUGAGUACAUUGCAGUUGGGAGCAUUCCAUGAUUUAGCUUGCAAAAACCUAGUCAAUAAAGUCAGUCUGUUUGUUUUACUUGUAGCCACAAGUGUAAUUCAAGAAUUGGAAAGCACCUCUAGCCAGAAAAAUGCUGAAUGGCCUUGGUCCCAAGCUUUCAUUCAAUCCACUGGAUUAAUGAGAAAACACUCUGAUAUAAGAGAUUUAAACCUAUCAACUGUAGUUAUGCAUGAAAACCAGAUAUAUAAAAAGCGAGAAUGGCAAAAACAAAAGUUAUGGACCCUUCAAGGGACUAUCGGAGAAGUGUCAUGGGGUAGCUUUACCUUUAAGACAGCUUUGAGAGUUAAGGAAGUUGAAGCUACUGGUGGCUGAUGGGAGUUUUUCCUCCUGACCAAUUAUCAGUCAUUUCUAAAAUUGACAGCAAGCUUGACCAUUAAAAAGUUAAGUCAACUUGUAAACACCCCCUUAAGAUGUACAGUCAGAGGUCUCUUGUCCUCUUUUGUUUCCGGCUUUUGAGAAGGUAACAAGGCUCUGUAAUAGCCUCCUCCAUUCCCCCCCCCCCCCUCCCUCGGCCGGAGAAGGCCGCAGAGGACGAGAGGGAAGGGGGGGGGAGGAAAGGAAAGCAGAGCUGGCAGCCUGGUUUGGUUUUCAGUUUCUGCUGCUGGACUGAAACCUGACACCAUGAACUCUUGCAGCUUUUCUAAAGCUUUUAAUUCUUUUACUACUUGGAUAAACGUACAGAUUACUCCUUUUUCCCAGAAAGACAGAGAAAGAGAGACAAUCAACAUGAAGAAGACAUCAUCGAACCACCAAAAACAGUGAGGAAAAGAGUUAAGUUUAAAUAAGAAAGAGGGAAUAAGGAGAUGCUUUACAGAUGAAAUAUCUUUCUGUUAAAGCUAUGGAGAUGGACAAUAGUAGUUUAAAAAGACUCCUUUAAUUCAUGACUAGAGUAUGGGAGGAAUAGAGUGUUCAAAGUGUGGGCUUUUGAGAAAAGAGAGAGUAAUUGUGAUACUGUGAGUUGCUGGAAAUGGGUAGAGUGAAGAUUUUGAAGCCUUGGGGGGCAAAGAGAAAACUGUUUUCCAGGAAGGCUCACAGAGACAGAUGAAGAGGACUUCUGCCUUUGAAUAACUCAUCCUUAAAAUGACAUCCCUAAACUCAUGGCCCAUACACACCUCGGAGUGAUGUGAAAUGGGAGGAGUGAACUCUGAUGACAGAUUUCCAGGCAGCUGGCAUUAGAAAAAUAGAAAACUAUAACAAAAAUAGUUUUCUUGUGAGAAACUCCAUAGAUUGGCAGAAGGAGACUUCUGUUUCUCUACAAAGACUGAUGAAAAGACUCUAGCAAGAAUUGGGACUGUUUUUGACCACCAAAGUUCUAAAGUUUUUUUUGUCUCUAUGUUAUCAUGUGUACAAAGAAAUGGUCAUGUAGUGAGAGAUAAAAGGGUUUUCUGGAAGUUUAUUCUGGUGUUAUUAUUCUUGUAGUUUGUUAAUAAACUGUCUUUAUUCCUUUUAA